GUGAAAUGAUGAACUUGUUUAUCCAUUCUCAGAGUGCAGCUGGGCCCAGGCUUUGCAGCCCCCUGUUUUCUGUUCUGGUAACAGGGAGGGGGGUCCAGUGGUCUGGCCUUGGUGCUAUCCCAGUGUUCUACUGGGCUGGCUAGCUGGGGCCAUGCUAUUAGGAGCAAGGUCUGUGACCUGGCAAUAACAAAGAUGAGUGUAACAGUCUGAUCAC
Molecule: small nucleolar RNA, 214 nt
Organism: Lampris incognitus (smalleye Pacific opah)
Lineage: Eukaryota; Metazoa; Chordata; Actinopteri; Lampriformes; Lampridae
Product: small nucleolar RNA SNORD17
Exons: 1
Source: RefSeq, a predicted model, not a curated record